UACAGAGGGGGCAAGCGUUGUUCGGAAUUACUGGGCGUAAAGGGCGCGUAGGCGGCCAUCUAAGUCAGACGUGAAAUCCCCCGGCUUAACCUGGGAACUGCGUCUGAUACUGGAAGGCUUGAGUAUGGGAGAGGGAUGUAGAAUUCCAGGUGUAGCGGUGAAAUGCGUAGAUAUCUGGAGGAAUACCGGUGGCGAAGGCGGCAUCCUGGGCCAGUACUGACGCUGAGGCGCGAAAGCUAGGGGAGCAAACGGG
This 253-nucleotide ribosomal RNA is filed under the name uncultured bacterium. RNAcentral describes it as "partial 16S ribosomal RNA". It matches the Rfam family "Bacterial small subunit ribosomal RNA", at positions 524 to 776 of the family's 1533-position model. The record is from RNAcentral.